Salvelinus fontinalis (brook trout) is the source of this 5949-nucleotide long non-coding RNA. RefSeq lists it as uncharacterized. The record is from RefSeq and is a predicted model, not a curated record. NCBI's taxonomy places the organism in Eukaryota, Metazoa, Chordata, Actinopteri, Salmoniformes, Salmonidae. The transcript has 4 exons.
GCUUCUUCAACAACAACAGCUAGUCAGACACCUCGGUAGCGUUCGAGCAAACAUAGCUACAACAUUCACGCUCUUUACAAUGUUUUGGUGUAUAUUAGUCGCUGUGUAUUAAACACACUUCUGUCGUAUGUACUUGUUGGCCCAUUUAAUUAUAUAUUUACGUUGUUUGUCAGCUAGCUGGUUUGCUAAGUUAGCUUAGAACUAGGCUAGUCACUAAUGCUAGCUAGCUAACAUCUCCGACCAUGAGUUCACUAAGCUACUCUCCUCCUGCUAAAGAAGAGGUGGUCUGCUGGACGGAGAAAGAAGCUUUCGUGAAAGAGGAGCACGAAGAGAAGGCUGUUACAAUACAAAAACAAGUAGAUGGUGAGGCUGUUACCGUGAAAGAAGAAGAGAAAGACGUUACAGUGAAAGAAGAGGAAGAUGCGUUCAGAGUGAAAGAGGAGGAGGAUGUUACAGUAAAAGAAGAGGAGGAGAGAAAGAGGAGGAUGCAGUUUUUGGAGUGAAAGAAGAGGAGGGGGAGAUGACUGUCACAUUGGAGGAAGAGGAGGAGGUUGGAGAUCUGUUUAACACCAGAGAGAGACCGGACUAUUGUGGAUCCUCUGGGGAGUCUCAACAAAAUCAUGAUGCUGACGAGGCAGAGAAGAGUCUCUCCAGAUCAGAACUCCUCAAGAAACACCAGCAGAAACCCACAGGGAAGAAAUCUAUCUGCUGCUCUGACUGCGGGAAACAUUGCAAAUCUUCAUCAAAACUUAAAAUACACCAGCGAGUACACACAGGAGAGAAACCUUAUAGUUGUGAUCAGUGUGGCAAGAGUUUUACUAAGUCAAACAACCUGGUAUCACACCAGAGAACACACACAGGAGAGCAGUCAUAUAGCUGUAAGCAAUGUGGCAGGAGUUUUUCUCAGUCAAACAACCUGGAUAGACACCAGAGAACACACACACAGGAGAGAAGCCUUAUAGCUGUAAUCAGUGUGGGAAGAGUUUUACUCAGUCAAGCAACCUGGUAUCACACCAGAGAGCACACACAGGAGAGCAGUCAUAUAGCUGAGAGCAAUGUGACAGGAGAUACUCUCAUUCAAGUGGUCUGAUUAAACAUCAGAAAAUACAUGCAGGAGAUCCACGAAGUGUGGGAAUGAUCUCCAACACCAGACCUCUAUACAUCAAAUCACAUUUUAUUUGUCACAUACACUUGUUUAGCAGAUGUUAUUGUGGGUGUAGCAAAAUGCUUGUGUUUCUAGCUCCAACAGUCCAGUAAUAUCUAACAAUCACGCAAUCUAAAGGAAUGGAAUUAAGAAUAUAUAAAUAUUUGGAUGAGUGAUGUCAGAGCGGCAUAGACUAAGAUACAGUAGAAUAGGAUAGAAUACAGUAUAUGCAUAUGAGAUGAGUAAUACAUGGACUAAGAUACAGUAGAAUAGGAUAGAAUACAGUAUAUACAUAUGAGAUGAGUAAUGCCAGAUAUGUAAACAUUAUUAAAGUGACUAGUGUUGCAUUCCUUAAAGUGGCCAAUGAUUUCAAGUCUGUGUAUGUAGGCAGCAGCCUCUCUGUGUUAGUGAUGGCUAUUUAACAGUCUGAUGGCCUUGAGAUUGAAAAACAGAUUCUGUCUCUUGGUCUCAGCUUUGAUGCACCUGUCCUGACCUCGACUUCCGGAUGAUAGCGGGCUGAACAGGCAGUGGCCGGGUAAUAACAAAGAACAAAUGUGUGUGCCUGAGGGGAAAUUAACUUUUAUACAGCCAAAAGGGGUGAGAAAUUACACCAAUAUCAGGGGACAAUUUGCACUAAUGUAAAUUAACAUAGAUGAUGGAACGUAUUCCCUUUUGCUGACGUGAUGAACCACUAAGGGGACAUAAAUAUUUACCAUCUAAACCAUGUGUGACCUCUCACCUCUCUGGCUGUAGAAGUGGUCUUCCUAACCAGUCCCUCAACAGCUCUCUGACUGAGCUCCACCCUCACUGGGUCUUCAGAGAAGAGGAAGGCUGAGGAGGGAUGGAAGGAUGAAUGGAUCAGUCAGUCAAUAAAGUGUAGAGCUGCUGUCUAUGCUGUCUGACAAAAUCACUAUUUAAGUAGUUCAUUAAAGUAAAUAAGGCUUUAUGACUGCUGAAUACCAACGAUCAAUCACUUAGAUCAUGUAUUUUCAGGUAGAGAUACAUCCUUGGGACGUCCCUAGCCCAUUGAAGUUGACAUUUAAAAUGGUUAAGGUAGGGGUUAGGGUUUAGAGUAGGGAUGUCCCAAGGAUCCCGGAUAGCAUUGACCAUCGUGCAUUCUUCUGUCUCUUACAUAGCAGGUGUAAAAUAAACAGACAUGACAAGUAGACACGCAGUGCAUUAUGGUCAUUGUAGUUUAAAAAAUUGCAUCUAAUUAUGCCAAUCUGUAUGUGGGGUUAGAGAAGAACGUGAUUGUCAGCCCUAACAAUCCAUUCUAGCACCUCAUCAGGCUCUGAAAAUGGCUUCAUUGAUGACGUGUUCCUUCUAUUCCAGGUCACAGCAGAGGAACUUCAUCGAUUCCACUCCUUCAUCAAUACAAGCAGUGAACAUCUGAAAUUCACCCUCACCUUUGAUGUGCAUGAAACAAGUUAUCUGGGCAUUUUGAUUUAGAGGGAGAAGAGUGGCUUUAGCACAGACCUAUACAGGAAGCCGACGGACAUGAAUUCCCUGUUACACGGAGACAGCUUCCAACCCACACCCCUAAAAAAGAGCCUCCCCAUCAGCCAAUAAAGUUGCAUACACAGGAUUUGUAGUACACAGAGUGACUAUGACAAACAAGCCGACUGUCUGGAUGAGUGUUUCAGACAGCGGGGUUACCCAGAGGAAUGGCUGGAUGAGAGUUUCAGACAGCGGGGUUACCCAGAGGAAUGGCUGGAUGAGAGUUUCAGACAGCGGGGUUACCCAGAGGAAUGGCUGGAGGAGCGUUUCAGACAGCGGGGUUACCCAGAGGAAUGGCUGGAUGAGCGUUUCAGACAGCGGGGUUACCCAGAGGAAUGGCUGGAUGAGAGUUUCAGACAGCGGGGUUACCCAGAGGAAUGGCUGUAUGUGCGUUUCAGACAGCAGGGUUACCCAGAGGAAUGGCUUCUUGACGCAAGGAAUCGUUAUAUAAAUACAGUGAUGGAAAAAGUACCCAAUUGUCAUACUUGAGUAAAGAAAACAUUUAAAAUUUAAAUUUAUAAAAUUUAAUUUACAACAGAAACAGAAAUGUUUGUACUUAUAGGUAACCAAAUCGUGGCUACAACUAAGUUACUAAGUCUUUAGCCACACUGUUUUGUUACACUGGUGAGUAAAAACUCAUGCUUCCUACACUUUAACUUGUUGUCUGAAAAUAAAAUAUACAUUUUACUCAACUGCGUCGUCAGCAGAUGGACUAGAUGCCGCUUAGGCCGCCCAUUGUGACUCAGUCAAGAAUUCAGCAGAGCAAGUUUGUAUGAAGGUCUGGUUAUUUAAUGGGUACAUAGUUCAAUAGUAAUAUCCUCGAAAACGCUCUGGUGACAAACUUUGCUGCCCUGUUUCCAAUUGUCCACAUGGCUGGGAGAACCUAUUCAAGUAAGUAAGUAAAUAGACUGAAAAUGAUUUUUUUUUUUUUUUUUUAAACAAUGUAUUAUUAGCCAAUUACAGUGCAGGCUAACUCAAAUGAGCUGCCAACUUCACAUUCUGUAUAGAUAGCUAGCUAAGUGAAUUAAAUAUCAUCAGCUACCUAACUUCAUAUUAGCUAGCUAUCUUGAUGUAUUUAUCACUGUAAAAAACAAACUCCAAAUGAAUUUGUAGGUAGCUAGCUAACAGCCAUGGAGGCUGAAAGGAUAGCAGCCCCAACUGUCAGUGAGAGAGGAGGCUAUAGGGCAGGUACUUUUGUGUAGUUCCAGUCCCUAGAAGUGAGGAUGGAGAUAAUAGUAACAUAAUAUUCAGUGUGGUGUAAUUUGACUGUAAUGAAGUCUGUUUCUUAUGAGGUUUUCUGUCCUCAGAUAAAGAGCACUAUGAAAGCCAGUCAACAUAUGAAUAGGUCCCAAUGAAGAGCAGUGGUUCUCAGUCCUGGGGACUCAAAGAGAGGAACAUAGUUGUUUUUGCCUUCGCACUGAACAGCUGAUUCAAAUGAUCAAUUCAUCAUCAAGCUUGAAGUGGUAUUUAUGUAUUCAUUUGUGAUGCUAUCCUUGAUAUGAUCCUGGUAUUGUCACAUGCUACACAUGUACAUAUGUGUGCCCAUGCAUCUAUCAAUCCAAUGUUAUUAUGAUUUGGUAUCAGGGAUAUUAUACUUUAGUAAUCCACAAUGAGCUGGUGAUGUAACAGUCUAAUAAUGACAUUGUCUUCCAUAUUCCUACAGAUACCUUGUAACUUGAGAUUCCUUCAAAACGAUUGUCUACAGUUAACGUGUAGGGCACUGCAAGGUUGGGUGACCAGGGUCAUCUGGGACUGCCUCCUGGAGAAAUUCAGGUGUGUGAAGGCUACCUGUGUCCUGCGUAACUUCAUGAGGAUGGACACGAGGACCAGGAGGGGAUCUGCAGCUCGCCGCCGUGUCCCAGAGGAGGAGUCUGCUGCUCUGCAGGAUGUUUCAAAGAUGGGGUCCAACAACGCAGCAAGAGACAAUCCGUGUACAGGAGAUCUUCACCUCCUACUUCUUCAAAGAGGGUGCUGUUCCCUGGCAACACCAUAGACUACACUAUGCACAACCAAAGGCUCUUUUAAUAAGAGCCCAUUCACAUUGCAAUAAGAGUAUUCUUCCAUUUACUUAGCUAUGUCAACUGCAGUUAUUCAAUUCAAUUUCUCUCCCUUUGGUUUCUACUUCUCAGGUGAGGGUGCUGUUUAGGUAAGGGUGUGAUGUCUGUACAAAAACAAAACAGGCUGUUUUAAAUCCCCCAUAUUGAAAAAAUGUGGAACAAUUAGUCACCCUAUAACGCACACCUACACACUCAUGUAUCAAUCUGCUUGAUGGAUUGUGUUGUGCAGUAAGCAGGCUCAGGUGUAUAACUGUGGCUCCUUCCACCUUCAAAGAAUAGGCAAGAGGACCAACCAUUGAGAAUAGUAAGACACUUAUUUAUUUCUGUAACUACGCUAUAUUGUUUGUCCUCAUGGGUCCGUUCAUGUUUUUCAGCAUAAAGUACUCUGCAGCCACUUAGUGUGGUGUGGACACCAGGUUAUAUCAGCUGUGUCGGUGAACCCCUCCUGGAUCUGAACUGGCUACAUAGAGGGCACAUCAUGAUCAGAGAUAUGUUUUGAUGUGAGAGGAUGCCAACCGCUAGUCCCAUCAUCACCACCUCACCCUCUUUUAAGAUAACCUUUGGGCCGGCGUGAGACACUUAUGUAAUUGUGAUGAACUGAGAGAAUAUUUAUGUAGCACUGUGAUUCAUUAAUCAUGUGUUGCCUUCCCUGCUCCUACGUGCUUACCUCUUUCCCUUUCUGUCUUUUACACCUCUCCCGCCACCUCUUUCUUCCUCUGUUUUUAUAAUGCACAACAGAUAUGCAUUGAAGUACAGAUUGAAACUUGUAUUUAUCACACUUGAAUAAUGAGCUUUUCAAUAAAGCGUUUCACAUUCUCUAUUGGUUGAAAUUAAGUGUAAUUUGAUGAAAUACUACACCUAUCCUGUGUUUAUCAGAUCAAUGCAGAUGAAGGGCAUUAGAUAUUGAGAUGAACCGGUGUUAGAGUAUUUACAUGAUGCAUAGGGAGUGUAGUGUUCUGUUUUUUAACAUUAUAUUUCUGUAUAUAUGAAUUAACUAGUUAAAUCCUGUUUCUAGUCUAUUAGUUACAAUGUGUAACCAUUGAUGUCUCAGGACCAAGAUUGGUAAACACUGUUGAAGUGUAUAAUUCUAAUACAUACAUGCAGACACAGUCAUUCAAAGACUGGAAUUUGAUACUCCUGGUAUUGGAUAUGACUGAAAAAUAAUCUCAAAGACAUUCAUACCUAAACUGCACCUUUAUUUGCCAAGGUAGAGUACAUGAUCAGUGAAUAUAUUAAAUGUACAGGCUACAA